CAGCGGUAGCCUCACGCCCCGACAGCAUGAGCACGUGGGAAUGCAUG
This 47-nucleotide non-coding RNA is filed under the name Phaeomonas parva. The record is from RNAcentral. Lineage: Eukaryota; Pinguiophyceae; Pinguiochrysidales; Pinguiochrysidaceae.